AGAGUUUGAUCCUGGCUCAGAUUGAACGCUGGCGGCGUGCCUAACACAUGCAAGUCGAGCGGUAACAGGUGUAGCAAUACAUGCUGACGAGCGGCGAACGGGUGAGUAAUGCUUUGGAAUCUUCCCAGUAGUGGGGAAUAACCAGUCGAAAGAUUGGCUAAUACCGCAUACGUCUGUAAAGGGAAAGCGGGGGCUCGUAAGACCUCGCGCUAUUGGAUGAGCCAAAGUCGGAUUAGCUAGUUGGUGGGGUAAUGGCCUACCAAGGCGACAAUCCGUAGCUGGUCUGAGAGGACGACCAGCCACACCGGAACUGAGACACGGUCCGGACUCCUACGGGAGGCAGCAGUGGGGAAUAUUGGACAAUGGGGGAAACCCUGAUCCAGCGACGCCGCGUGUGUGAAGAAGGCCUGCGGGUUGUAAAGCACUUUUAGUGGGGACAAAAAGCUACGGAUUAAUACUCUGUGGUCUUGAUUUAACCCAAAGAAAAAGCACCGGCUAACUCUGUGCCAGCAGCCGCGGUAAUACAGAGGGUGCGAGCGUUAAUCGGAAUUACUGGGCGUAAAGCGCGCGUAGACGGUUUUGUAAGUCAGAUGUGAAAUCCCUGGGCUCAACCUGGGAACUGCAUUUGAAACUGCAUGGCUAGAGUAUCGAAGAGGGAAGUGGAAUUUCCGGUGUAGCGGUGAAAUGCGUAGAUAUCGGAAGGAACACCAGUGGCGAAAGCGACUUCCUGGUCGAAUACUGACGUUCAUGUGCGAAAGCGUGGGGAGCAAACAGAUUAGAUACCCUAGUAGUCC
This 794-nucleotide ribosomal RNA is filed under the name uncultured bacterium. Its description in RNAcentral is "bacterial SSU rRNA". It matches the Rfam family "Bacterial small subunit ribosomal RNA", at positions 8 to 796 of the family's 1533-position model. The record is from RNAcentral.